CCAAAAUAAACACUUCACAUUACGACGCCAAGCUUGAGGUGAUAAGAUCGUCAACGUGUAAUUGAUCUAUUGAUUGCCAACGAAAACAUUAAAGAGUAUCUGAAUGCAGGUCACGAGAAACGUUUUGUUGUAGCUAAUUCCCCCGGAACUUUCGACGACAAUAGUCAUCUCUUGCAAUUGCUGUUACGUCCAAAUGCAAAUAGAUAGUUAUGGGGGAAAGAUGACAUCAUUUACUACGGCACCCUAAUCGGUACAAAUGGAGACAUGGCGAUGGUGAAAAUGAACAUCAAUAAUGUCGAUGUUCUUUGAUUUGGAGAUGUCUAGCAUUUUAGUCGAGUGAGUAAUUGCUUUGCCAAUUUGAUGUCAUUGCUUCCAUGAAAUGGAUGGUAAUGAAAAACGAUUCGAUUUGGCUUCAAAACUACUAAUUGCCAAUACAG
This is a long non-coding RNA of Hermetia illucens (black soldier fly), 437 nucleotides long. RefSeq lists it as uncharacterized. Lineage: Eukaryota; Metazoa; Arthropoda; Insecta; Diptera; Stratiomyidae. The record is from RefSeq and is a predicted model, not a curated record. The transcript has 3 exons.